CCUCACUGUUUCGGUAUUCAAUCCGCGGUACGUUUUGAAGUUAAAGAAACGUUUUCAUUGUUUUACAUAACCCCCUCCCCGGCUUAUCCAUUGCCGUCCUGAGGAGGGGCCUUCUCGCCGGCGACGGGCGAGGAGGCGAUGGACCGACGACUGCCCGACGACGGCGCUCGGAGGCGACGGGCCGGCGACGGCGCGCGGAGGCGGAGAGGGCCCUGAAGGGCUGCAGAUCCAGCGGCGGGGCUCCUGAUCCAAUCGGGAGCAGGACGACACGGCGAGCACAGGAAGUGCACGGGCCGUGAGAGGAUGAGCAGGAGGGGAGUCGCGGCAGGUCACAAGGUCAUCCAACGCGACGGCGCAUAGUGGAGGCCGGAGGCGACGCUCCGCGCUCCUUAGAUGGAGUGAAGAGAAGGAAGGGUCAGCCACAGGAGCAGCAGCAGGGUGAGUUCAGAUUUCUCCAUUGACCUGAGAUCGAUUAGUUGCUAGCAUGCAGUGUGCACCUUCUUCUUACUGUACAUACAAUUGAAGACUGAUUUAUUUUCCCUCUUCUGAUUUUGACCUCAACAUAUGUACAAUAUUGCAACCGUGUUUUACUGAAGAACUAUAUGCAGUUGUUGAUUCAGUUAGAUUUUUUCCUUAGAAACAAUAUAGCUAUAUAUUUUAAAAAAGAAUGUUUUACCGGAACAAGGUCCUCAGAUUGUGAUGCACACUGGCCAUUAAUUUCUACAACUUAGGCUUUCCUUGAACAAAACUAGGGGAAUUAGGCGGGAGUCACCUGUUAUCGAUCAGUUAGGAGGAUACUCAGCUUCCAUGCUCCCAUCCAAUUUGGAGGAAUGGAGGGUUCUGAAGCUUCCUAUUUUCCACGAUAUGCAAAAUCCUUGCAGACGGUAGUCUAGGAAAGCAGCCGGAUCAGUCUUAUUACAUGUGGUUUGAAAUUUGCCCGAUUAUAUGUUAUCUGAACAAGACGCUUCUCUUUUCUCAAGAAAUAAAAUAAAAUAAAAUAAGACACUUCUCUGAUAAUUACAUGCUUGCACCGUGGAGUUUACAUCCUUUGUGGUGUACCUGUGUUCUGAAUGUCAUGUUUGCAUGCUGAUUCAACCAGGUUUGGGCAUGCACAUGAAUAAAAUAUGAGACUAGGAUCAGCGAUAGACGUGUGCACUUAUUACAC
This 1165-nucleotide long non-coding RNA is filed under the name Hordeum vulgare. RNAcentral's name for it is "long non-coding RNA (HVUL_LNC010854)". Lineage: Eukaryota; Viridiplantae; Streptophyta; Magnoliopsida; Poales; Poaceae. The record is from RNAcentral.